This is a long non-coding RNA of Cygnus atratus (black swan), 846 nucleotides long. RefSeq lists it as uncharacterized. Lineage: Eukaryota; Metazoa; Chordata; Aves; Anseriformes; Anatidae. The transcript is spliced from 5 exons. The record is from RefSeq and is a predicted model, not a curated record.
AGCUUAAACGCAGUGUACAACCUGGGACGUCACACCCAGAGCUGCCUCUGGCAAGAGGUGUUGUAGCUGGCUUAAGAGGGUAGAUGGAAGCAUCUGCCUCGGGGUGUCUCGCAGAGGUUCAAAGGAGCAAACUGCAUUCUGAAGAGCUGCGUGCCAUGGCAGGCUUUCCACACAAGUGGCUGAGGACUUGAGAUGAGACCAGAGAGUGACAAGGAGCAGCACGUGCAGGGAUGGUUUCCAAGCGCUGCGGUCGCUUUCUCUUCUGUUCAUCAGGUGCCACAGGCAAGGUGAAGAGGUGCCUGGAGCCCCAUGUCAUCUAGCCUGCAUGUGCCUUGAGGAUGAAGCCUGCUUUCCAGCAGUCCCUAAAGCUAAGUUUGGCCCGAAAUGCCCCGUCUGUGUCUUGGGUGGGGUUGUACCUUGGUGUCUUGUGUGAUAUGUGCAUGGGGAUGGCUUUUAAAUCAGUGCAGCAGAGGAACAGAAUCCAGUAACAACUGGGUGAAGAGGCCCUGGGUUCAUCCUUUUCAGCCUAGUGUGUGCCAGGCAGGGCAGUUCCAGCAUGUGUUCUAUGGUGUAUGUUUGUUUCUGUGUACUAUAGUAUCCAUUUAUCAGGUCUUGUUCCCAUAGUUCUUGGCUUCUGCAGUGCUUGCUGAGCACCGUAUCAUGGGUCUUAAAUGUAUUGUCUGGUUGGCACGGGACUAGUAAUGAAGUGUUUCUUGUCUUUCAUUGGGACUUUAAAAGGCUGAUCUCUCUCCAGAGCUUGAUGUAGUCUACAUUUCUUGAUGGCGGCCAUCACGGCCCUCAGUCUUGGGCUUGUGUAUGUUCAUGUACAGUUUGGGAGCAUGGCUC